UACGUAGGGUGCAAGCGUUAAUCGGAAUUACUGGGCGUAAAGCGUGCGCAGGCGGCUUUGCAAGACAGAUGUGAAAUCCCCGGGCUUAACCUGGGAACUGCAUUUGUGACUGCAUGGCUGGAGUGCGGCAGAGGGGGAUGGAAUUCCGCGUGUAGCAGUGAAAUGCGUAGAUAUGCGGAGGAACACCGAUGGCGAAGGCAAUCCCCUGGGCCUGCACUGACGCUCAUGCACGAAAGCGUGGGGAGCAAAAGGG
RNAcentral lists this ribosomal RNA (253 nucleotides) under uncultured bacterium. RNAcentral's name for it is "partial 16S ribosomal RNA". It matches the Rfam family "Bacterial small subunit ribosomal RNA", at positions 524 to 776 of the family's 1533-position model. The record is from RNAcentral.